UUUUGUGUAAAAUGUGAAAAAAAAUGGUUCGACUCACUUAUAAACGGACUGUGGGUUAAUUAAAAGAAACUACAGGGGCUUUUCUGCAAAAACACCACAACGGACAGAAAUCAUCGGUACUUUAUUAUUAGGAAGGGAUUAAAAAACUUCCGUGAAAGCAUAAACGUGGUAACCGGGAGUGUUUAUUUUUAGCCUCCAUUUAUGCAUGUAUGCACUCAUGUCUUUUAUUUUAUUUUUAAAAUUUUAAAUUGUCUGGUCAAAUACAUGUG
Molecule: long non-coding RNA, 269 nt
Filed under: Hordeum vulgare
Lineage: Eukaryota; Viridiplantae; Streptophyta; Magnoliopsida; Poales; Poaceae
Description: long non-coding RNA (HVUL_LNC020631)
Source: RNAcentral